Molecule: ribosomal RNA, 694 nt
Filed under: Vibrio sp.
Lineage: Bacteria; Pseudomonadati; Pseudomonadota; Gammaproteobacteria; Vibrionales; Vibrionaceae
Description: bacterial SSU rRNA
Rfam family: Bacterial small subunit ribosomal RNA
Source: RNAcentral
GAGCAGCAGUGGGGAAUAUUGCACAAUGGGCGCAAGCCUGAUGCAGCCAUGCCGCGUGUAUGAAGAAGGCCUUCGGGUUGUAAAGUACUUUCAGUCGUGAGGAAGGUGGUAGUGUUAAUAGCACUAUCAUUUGACGUUAGCGACAGAAGAAGCACCGGCUAACUCCGUGCCAGCAGCCGCGGUAAUACGGAGGGUGCGAGCGUUAAUCGGAAUUACUGGGCGUAAAGCGCAUGCAGGUGGUUAGUUAAGUCAGAUGUGAAAGCCCGGGGCUCAACCUCGGAAUUGCAUUUGAAACUGGCUGACUAGAGUACUGUAGAGGGGGGUAGAAUUUCAGGUGUAGCGGUGAAAUGCGUAGAGAUCUGAAGGAAUACCGGUGGCGAAGGCGGCCCCCUGGACAGAUACUGACACUCAGAUGCGAAAGCGUGGGGAGCAAACAGGAUUAGAUACCCUGGUAGUCCACGCCGUAAACGAUGUCUACUUGGAGGUUGUGGCCUUGAGCCGUGGCUUUCGGAGCUAACGCGUUAAGUAGACCGCCUGGGGAGUACGGUCGCAAGAUUAAAACUCAAAUGAAUUGACGGGGGCCCGCACAAGCGGUGGAGCAUGUGGUUUAAUUCGAUGCAACGCGAAGAACCUUACCUACUCUUGACAUCCAGAGAAGCCAGUAGAGAUACAGGUGUGCCUUCGGGAACUCUGA